UACGGGGGGGGCAAGCGUUGUUCGGAGUUACUGGGCGUAAAGGGUGUGUAGGCGGUUCUUUAAGUUUGGUGUGAAAUCUCCCGGCUUAACCGGGAGGGUGCGCCGAAUACUGAGGGACUAGAGUGCGGGAGAGGAAAGUGGAAUUCCUGGUGUAGCGGUGAAAUGCGUAGAUAUCAGGAGGAACACCGGUGGUGUAGACGGCUUUCUGGACCGUAACUGACGCUGAGACACGAAAGCGUGGGUAGCAAACAGG
Molecule: ribosomal RNA, 253 nt
Filed under: uncultured bacterium
Lineage: Bacteria
Description: partial 16S ribosomal RNA
Rfam family: Bacterial small subunit ribosomal RNA
Source: RNAcentral